Molecule: ribosomal RNA, 253 nt
Filed under: uncultured bacterium
Lineage: Bacteria
Description: partial 16S ribosomal RNA
Rfam family: Bacterial small subunit ribosomal RNA
Source: RNAcentral
UACGAAGAGGGCUAGCGUUGCUCGGAAUCACUGGGCGUAAAGCGCACGUAGGCGGAUCUUUAAGUCAGGGGUGAAAUCCCGGAGCUCAACUCCGGAACUGCCUUUGAUACUGGGGAUCUUGAGUUCGAGAGAGGUGAGUGGAACUGCGAGUGUAGAGGUGAAAUUCGUAGAUAUUCGCAAGAACACCAGUGGCGAGGGCGGCUCACUGGCUCGAUACUGACGCUGAGGUGCGAAAGCGUGGGGAGCAAACAGG